RNAcentral lists this non-coding RNA (25 nucleotides) under Rattus norvegicus (Norway rat). The record is from RNAcentral. Lineage: Eukaryota; Metazoa; Chordata; Mammalia; Rodentia; Muridae.
UGCUAGUGGCAGAGUUGGUGUGUGA